UACGGAGGGAGCUAGCGUUGUUCGGAAUUACUGGGCGUAAAGCGCACGUAGGCGGCUUUUUAAGUCAGGGGUGAAAUCCCGGGGCUCAACCCCGGAACUGCCCUUGAAACUGGGAAGCUAGAAUCUUGGAGAGGCGAGUGGAAUUCCGAGUGUAGAGGUGAAAUUCGUAGAUAUUCGGAAGAACACCAGUGGCGAAGGCGACUCGCUGGACAAGUAUUGACGCUGAGGUGCGAAAGCGUGGGGAGCAAACAGG
Molecule: ribosomal RNA, 253 nt
Filed under: Erythrobacter sp.
Lineage: Bacteria; Pseudomonadati; Pseudomonadota; Alphaproteobacteria; Sphingomonadales; Erythrobacteraceae
Also listed under: 3 other names
Description: partial 16S ribosomal RNA
Rfam family: Bacterial small subunit ribosomal RNA
Source: RNAcentral